RNAcentral lists this ribosomal RNA (1148 nucleotides) under Salmonella enterica subsp. enterica serovar Montevideo. Its description in RNAcentral is "partial 23S ribosomal RNA". It matches the Rfam family "Bacterial large subunit ribosomal RNA", at positions 711 to 1839 of the family's 2925-position model. Lineage: Bacteria; Pseudomonadati; Pseudomonadota; Gammaproteobacteria; Enterobacterales; Enterobacteriaceae. The record is from RNAcentral.
AGACCCGAAACCCGGUGAUCUAGCCAUGGGCAGGUUGAAGGUUGGGUAACACUAACUGGAGGACCGAACCGACUAAUGUUGAAAAAUUAGCGGAUGACCUGUGGCUGGGGGUGAAAGGCCAAUCAAACCGGGAGAUAGCUGGUUCUCCCCGAAAGCUAUUUAGGUAGCGCCUCGUGAAUUCAUCUCCGGGGGUAGAGCACUGUUUCGGCUAGGGGGCCAUCCCGGCUUACCAACCCGAUGCAAACUGCGAAUACCGGAGAAUGUUAUCACGGGAGACACACGGCGGGUGCUAACGUCCGUCGUGAAGAGGGAAACAACCCAGACCGCCAGCUAAGGUCCCAAAGUCAUGGUUAAGUGGGAAACGAUGUGGGAAGGCCCAGACAGCCAGGAUGUUGGCUUAGAAGCAGCCAUCAUUUAAAGAAAGCGUAAUAGCUCACUGGUCGAGUCGGCCUGCGCGGAAGAUGUAACGGGGCUAAACCAUGCACCGAAGCUGCGGCAGCGACACUCAGGUGUUGUUGGGUAGGGGAGCGUUCUGUAAGCCUGUGAAGGUGGCCUGUGAGGGUUGCUGGAGGUAUCAGAAGUGCGAAUGCUGACAUAAGUAACGAUAAAGCGGGUGAAAAGCCCGCUCGCCGGAAGACCAAGGGUUCCUGUCCAACGUUAAUCGGGGCAGGGUGAGUCGACCCCUAAGGCGAGGCCGAAAGGCGUAGUCGAUGGGAAACGGGUUAAUAUUCCCGUACUUGGUGUUACUGCGAAGGGGGGACGGAGAAGGCUAUGUUGGCCGGGCGACGGUUGUCCCGGUUUAAGCGUGUAGGUGUGUGUUCCAGGUAAAUCCGGUUCACUUUAACACUGAGGCGUGAUGACGAGGCACUACGGUGCUGAAGCAACAAAUGCCCUGCUUCCAGGAAAAGCCUCUAAGCAUCAGGUAACAUCAAAUCGUACCCCAAACCGACACAGGUGGUCAGGUAGAGAAUACCAAGGCGCUUGAGAGAACUCGGGUGAAGGAACUAGGCAAAAUGGUGCCGUAACUUCGGGAGAAGGCACGCUGACACGUAGGUGAAGUGAUUUACUCAUGGAGCUGAAGUCAGUCGAAGAUACCAGCUGGCUGCAACUGUUUAUUAAAAACACAGCACUGUGCAAACACGAAAGUG